This 128-nucleotide small RNA is filed under the name Salmonella enterica subsp. enterica serovar Oranienburg. RNAcentral describes it as "partial RtT sRNA". It matches the Rfam family "RtT RNA", at positions 36 to 130 of the family's 130-position model. Rfam says of the family: This family represents a bacterial cis-regulatory element known as RtT RNA. Lineage: Bacteria; Pseudomonadati; Pseudomonadota; Gammaproteobacteria; Enterobacterales; Enterobacteriaceae. The record is from RNAcentral.
CGCAGGUUCGAAUCCUGCACGACCCACCAAUUUAACAUCAAACUCAGAUGUUGAACGUGAAGGAUAACGUUGCGUCAGCAACGGCCCGUAGGGCAGGGCGAAGCCGAGUCAUCCUGCACGACCCACCA